GAUGCAUGACUUCUUUGCCACCCAUGUCUUGAUUAGACAAGUUCACCAGAGAAGACAUCACAGAUUGGGUUCUGAGUAUCUGCUUUCUGCCACAUGAGAGACUGGUUCCUUCUCAUCUUUUUCAUCACUUGGUUUCAUUUGGUAUAUCUCUUGGGAGCUGGCAUUCAGAUGAUCCUGUCUCUUCCUUCACCAAUAAACAACACCCUACAGAUUGCCCAGGUCACAUUUGUCCAUGGGGACCUUAACUUCUUUUCAUCUGUGAGGAUGAAGUGGACCUUCAAGGUCUCUUCCACCUGGGUCCUCACUCCCUUCUCCAUAUCUGUCUAGGUCUGCCCACAUCUUGCAUUCCCACUUACUAUAAUCUGUUCAACUAUUUUGUAUUGUUUUGUUUCUUUUCUUUACUUUCUGUUAGCCCA
Molecule: long non-coding RNA, 416 nt
Filed under: Fukomys damarensis (Damara mole-rat)
Lineage: Eukaryota; Metazoa; Chordata; Mammalia; Rodentia; Bathyergidae
Description: lncRNA (ENSFDAG00000032513.1)
Source: RNAcentral